This 521-nucleotide long non-coding RNA is filed under the name Homo sapiens (human). RNAcentral describes it as "non-protein coding lnc-VAMP4-3:1". The record is from RNAcentral. Lineage: Eukaryota; Metazoa; Chordata; Mammalia; Primates; Hominidae.
AAGUGAUAAGGAGGACUCUCCUGCUCCCUGACCACCUUCACAUCACCAGCACUCUCUUCAGUGUGAACCUCUACACCAAGGUCCCUGAGCAGACAUCAGAAUGAGAGAAAGAGAGAUGGAGCUCCUUACAGCUAGAAAGUUAUUUCUCAUCCUGAUAACUCUCAUUGCAUCAUAUGGGUCCCAUUAGUACAGAUAUCUCCAAAUGGGCCACUCUUCUGUUACAUAGAAUAAAUUGUUCAUUACCUUGAGACUCUAAUUAUAGAUUACAGUCCUCCUUGCCAUCUACUGUAAAAGAGUCAAUCAACAGUGGGCUCCAGGGUCUCACUGAACUUGUGGUCAGCCUUAUUCAUAGGAUCACAGAGUUUACCUAUAGAACAGAGAACUGCUUGAUGUUUGGUGACUGUCCUAAAUAAAUAAGUGGAGUGCACUAUCUGAGCUUUACCAUUUUUGUCUCUUUCAUUCUUUUAUCCAUCCUGGCUAGCCUGGGAAUCCCUCUGUUCACUAAACCCAUUCCUGUUGUA